AUUGAACGCUGGCGGCAUGCUUUACACAUGCAAGUCGAACGGUAACAGGUCUUCGGAUGCUGACGAGUGGCGAACGGGUGAGUAAUGCAUCGGAACGUGCCCAGUCGUGGGGGAUAACGCAGCGAAAGCUGUGCUAAUACCGCAUACGAUCUAUGGAUGAAAGCGGGGGAUCGCAAGACCUCGCGCGAUUGGAGCGGCCGAUGUCAGAUUAGCUAGUUGGUGGGGUAAAGGCCCACCAAGGCGACGAUCUGUAGCUGGUCUGAGAGGACGACCAGCCACACUGGGACUGAGACACGGCCCAGACUCCUACGGGAGGCAGCAGUGGGGAAUUUUGGACAAUGGGCGCAAGCCUGAUCCAGCAAUGCCGCGUGCAGGAAG
This 378-nucleotide ribosomal RNA is filed under the name uncultured bacterium. RNAcentral describes it as "bacterial SSU rRNA". It matches the Rfam family "Bacterial small subunit ribosomal RNA", at positions 30 to 410 of the family's 1533-position model. The record is from RNAcentral.